UUUUACCGCAUUUCUUAUUUAUUCAUCAACCUUUGGCAAACCCGGGAAACCUUCCCAAUCAGCACUGUUUUUAGGAACCGGUUGUUUUUCCGUCUUUGCGAAACACACAACUUUUGCUGCAACCGUGAACCUGUGUGAUCUCCGUCUCCCCCGCUGCACAACCCAGUCUGCUUGGAUUUGUGUUCUUGGACUUAAGUGGAUGGCCCCCGUUUCUAACCCGGCUUCCUGAGCGCCCUUUGCUUUUCCCUCUCCUUCUCCAGCCGCCUGUUGCUUCCCUCCCUCUGCUCUCCCAUUUUGCAGCUUUUCUUGAAAUCUGGCAAACGCCAGGAAGGGGAAUAACUUGCAUGCAUCUUCAUUGAAAUCAAUCAAGUGUAAGUUUCUUUCUUCAAGGGAGGGAUAUUAACUCGCUCCCUCCUUCCCCGGCUCCUCGAAGGGGGCGGGGGGCGGGUUCGUGCAGUUUCUUGGAGAUGAGGUAAUGAGUUCCAGAUUGCAGGACAGAGUAGGGUGCGCGUUACAAACCACAAGGUUAGUCUGCAUCCCGAUGUGAAGCUAUUUCGGUUUGGUUUUGUUUUUUUAUCCCCCCCAGCCCCUCCCCCCAAAGGGUCUAGGUCUGGAGGGUUCUGGAAGCAGUGCUGGGGGUACAGGAUGAGCUGGAGAUCCGAGGGGUGAGGGGGACGCGCGGGGCGGAUGUCCCCGCCCAGGGCCAGGCCGCCCCGCUGCUCCCCUCUCUGGGGGGCGCUCUUCCCCCGCGGCCGCGGGACGGGCCUCGGCGCCCCCCGGCCAGUGAAAACGUUUUUCUCCCCCAAAGAGAACGCGAUUCCUCGAAUUUCCUCCGCAUCUCCAGCUCCCGGAGGGCGGGCGCGCCCCUCCCUCCCCCGCUCCCGGAGGGGGCGCGGGCUCCGCGGGGCGGCGGCCGGCCUGGCCCGCUUGCCUCGGAGUUGUUUACCGGCCCGGCCGACCGACCGGGUUGGUUCCAGCUCCCAGAGCCUGCCUCUAUAAUUAAACCCUUUUUUUUUUUUUUAAUUGUCGGGUUGAAACGUCAUUUCGGGGACUUUCCAAGGGUGAGGGAGCAGAGGGGAGGGAGCGAGCCUCCUUAACCCUUCCCUGACCCGGCCGUCCACGCCGCGGCGGGCUGGGGCGCAGCGUCUGGCACGGCCGUGGGGGGGGGGGGGGGGGAUCUGGGGACCUGGGCCGGCCAGUCCCGCGGAGAGGUGCUCCGCAGGUGCCCCAAGGUGCGGGGACCGGCAGUGAGCCCCCACCCGGCAGGAAGCGCGGCGGGAGGCGUGCGCGGCCCUCCCCGCUCCGGCCCGGCGGGGCGCCCCGGUUCCUGCCCCGCGCGGUGCGCAGAGGCCGCCCCUUCACCUGCCCCGCCGCUUCCGACUGGGAGGCGCCCGCCUGGCCCUCCCGCCCGGCUUCCGGGUCCUCCCUGCUCGCGGGAAGCCGGUCUCCGCCAGGGGAGGGCCUGGCCAGGUAGUUUUGGCUUGGGGGUACUAGGUUCUGUCAAAGGGGGGAAAGUGAAAGUCUUCGGAAUUGGGGAAACCCGACGGAUCUAUGCAGUGACCAGUCUGGACGCUGGGCGCACCUCGAGGCAGGGCAGCAGGAGCUGGGAGAAAGCUGAAGCAGACCAAGGCAAAAUCGAGACGCAAAGGCAGUGAGGAUGCUAGUGAAUCGGGUUAGCGUCUGGUUGUGGCGUGCUCGGGCCUUCCACCGUGGACAGGGCAGGGUCCUACAGGACACGGGUCCGAGCCUCCCUCGCCACCGAAAACUGCUCCUCCAACGUUCAGCCCAGGGGAUGCCACUCGGGCUGAACUCUGCUCGACUGGGACCAAGGAAGCGGGGCCUGUGCCAGCCUUUCUCCCUCUAAGAAUUCUGAAGUCACUUGACCCUGAUUCUGUAAGUCACAUGCUCCUUCUAUCAAAAAAUGGUGACAAAAUAGGCAGAAGGGACACUGUCUAGGUUGUGGCCUCAGGUACUCAACCCCGUUUCUUCCCAUCCCUCCUAACCUUCAAACGUGUCUCGGUCAUAGACUAUAUGACUCAAGCUAUUAUUUAACCAUGAAAAGAAAAAAAGAAAGAAAAAAAAAAGACAAACCAGGAAAUUAGAGGCUGAAUGACCUAAAAUUUAUUCCAUUCAACUGAGCUAAUCUCCUCACAAGGGUGUGUAU
This is a long non-coding RNA of Pipistrellus kuhlii (Kuhl's pipistrelle), 2164 nucleotides long. RefSeq lists it as uncharacterized. The transcript has 2 exons. The record is from RefSeq and is a predicted model, not a curated record. NCBI's taxonomy places the organism in Eukaryota, Metazoa, Chordata, Mammalia, Chiroptera, Vespertilionidae.